AUUGCUUCUUGGCCUUUUGGCUAAGAUCAAGUGUAGUAAAUAUAUAUAUUUUUCAUAAUCUAAUUUAAAUCAAUGGAAUCAAACUUCC
Molecule: small nuclear RNA, 88 nt
Organism: Oryctolagus cuniculus (rabbit)
Lineage: Eukaryota; Metazoa; Chordata; Mammalia; Lagomorpha; Leporidae
Gene: U2
Rfam family: U2 spliceosomal RNA
About the family: U2 is a small nuclear RNA (snRNA) component of the spliceosome (involved in pre-mRNA splicing). Complementary binding between U2 snRNA (in an area lying towards the 5' end but 3' to hairpin I) and the branchpoint sequence (BPS) of the intron results the bulging out of an unpaired adenosine, on the BPS, which initiates a nucleophilic attack at the intronic 5' splice site, thus starting the first of two transesterification reactions that mediate splicing.
Source: Ensembl